GACGAACGCUGGCGGCGUGCUUAACACAUGCAAGUCGAACGGAAAGGCCCUGCUUUUGUGGGGUGCUCGAGUGGCGAACGGGUGAGUAACACGUGAGUAACCUGCCCUUGACUUUGGGAUAACUUCAGGAAACUGGGGCUAAUACCGGAUAGGAGCUCCUGCUGCAUGGUGGGGGUUGGAAAGUUUCGGCGGUUGGGGAUGGACUCGCGGCUUAUCAGCUUGUUGGUGGGGUAGUGGCUUACCAAGGCUUUGACGGGUAGCCGGCCUGAGAGGGUGACGGGCAAAUGGGGGAGGGAGAGCGGGCAGGAAGCCGGGGGGGAGAAUGGGGGGGGGAAGUGGGACGAAGGGAGGGAAGUCGGGUGAAGCAGCCCCGGGUGGGGGAUGGGGCCCUUCGGUUAGAAGCCCGUUUCCAGCGGGAAGAGAGGGUGAGUGCGGGGAGUGGAUAAAGAAGCACCGGCUAACUCCGUG
This 468-nucleotide ribosomal RNA is filed under the name uncultured bacterium. RNAcentral describes it as "partial 16S ribosomal RNA". It matches the Rfam family "Bacterial small subunit ribosomal RNA", at positions 28 to 507 of the family's 1533-position model. The record is from RNAcentral.